AUGGAUGCCUAUCUUUAGCAUUGUAGGCUCGGUCAUAUAAAUAAGAAUAGGAUAAACAGAUUAGGUAAAAAAAAAAUCUUCGAAGUCUAUGAUUGUAAAUCAUUGCUGACCCAUGAAUCUUGUCUUCUUUGAAAGAUGAUCAAGUCAGCCAGUGAUAUUCUAAGUCUAGUACAUAUUGAUGUAUGUGGACCCAUGAACUCGAGUGCCAG
This 209-nucleotide long non-coding RNA is filed under the name Elaeis guineensis (African oil palm). RNAcentral's name for it is "long non-coding RNA (EGUI_LNC070153)". The record is from RNAcentral. Lineage: Eukaryota; Viridiplantae; Streptophyta; Magnoliopsida; Arecales; Arecaceae.